UACAGAGGGUGCGAGCGUUAAUCGGAAUUACUGGGCGUAAAGCGCGCGUAGGCGGCUUUGCAAGUCGGGUGUGAAAUCCCCAGGCUUAACCUGGGAACUGCAUUCGAGACUGCAUUGCUAGAGUAUGGGAGAGGGAAGUGGAAUUUCCGGUGUAGCGGUGAAAUGCGUAGAUAUCUGGAGGAAUACCGGUGGCGAAGGCGGCAUCCUGGACCAUUACUGACGCUGAGGCGCGAAAGCCAGGGGAGCGAACGGG
This 253-nucleotide ribosomal RNA is filed under the name uncultured bacterium. RNAcentral describes it as "partial 16S ribosomal RNA". It matches the Rfam family "Bacterial small subunit ribosomal RNA", at positions 524 to 776 of the family's 1533-position model. The record is from RNAcentral.